UAAUUUCCUCACAGGACGCAGCAUCGAACGGUCAAAUUUUGCUCCUGUGAUGAGAAGAAACGGUCUUUGAGGAGCGCCAAGGACCAUUUUGCUUCCUCUCUGAUCUGAGAUGAAUAGUUUGAGCAGUGAGCAUAGGACAUAGCAUUCAGACGGGAGCCUAAAUACUGGGAAACUACUUCAUUUUCAUCUUCCCAACUCUCCAAUUCCGUGGAGACCAUCGCCUCACCGGAUCUCUAGCUCUUCUGCCUUAUCUCACCGGCUGCGAAGAAGCUGGGAUGGAAGGAGAUCCGACUCGUUGCUGAAACUUUAGGAUUGGUCUCGGAGGCAUACGGUUGCUCCGGCGCGUCCCUUGCGAGGAUUUAUACAUUUUUUCAUACACAGGAAGUUGGCGGUGAUGAGAGGGAGCUGCUGGUGGUUGAAGUUGAAUCGCCGGGCAGAGCAUAAAUUCCGGCAACUCCUGAUUUCCUCAGUUAAAUCGGUGAAGAUCAAGCUUUUGCUCUGUUGUUGCAUUGCGUUCACGCUGUUCGUUCUCACCGGCAAGGCGUCCGCCUUCGUGGUGUGGUCCAAUCAGAAUCCUGUUUUCACUCCCUACUCUCCUUCAAGGAAAGGAUAUUCUAUUGUAAUGAACACAUGGAAGAGAUAUGAUCUCCUAAAGCAAUCCGUCAAGCACUAUGCAUCAUGUCCUCGGCUAGAAUCAAUACAUAUUGUGUGGAGUGAACCCAAUCCUCCUUCAGAUUUUCUUUUAAAGUUUUUACACCAUGUAGUUCAGUCCAACUCUAAAGAUGGGCGACACGUCAAAUUGAAGUUUGAUGUCAACAAAGAAGACAGUUUAAACAAUAGGUUUAAGGAAAUCAAAGAUUUAGAGACCGAUGCAGUCUUUUCCAUUGAUGACGAUGUCAUAUUCCCUUGCCCUUCUGUGGAAUUUGCAUUUGAUGUUUGGCAGAGUGCACCAGAUACAAUGGUGGGAUUUGUUCCCCGUGCCCAUUGGGAACAUUCAUCGGUAGGUGAUGGUGAUAAAUUUCAAUAUGGUGGGUGGUGGUCCGUGUGGUGGACUGGUACGUACAGCAUGGUGCUAUCCAAGGCAGCGUUCUUCCACAAAAAGUAUUUUAGUCUCUACACGAAUGAGAUGCCAGCCUCAAUUAGAGAAUAUGUGACCAAGAAAAGGAAUUGUGAAGAUAUUGCAAUGUCUUUCCUUGUUGCAAAUGCAACUGGGGCACCACCAAUAUGGGUGAAAGGUAGAAUAUUUGAGAUAGGAUCAACUGGAAUCAGCAGCCUGGGUGGUCACAGUGAAAGAAGAACAGAAUGCGUGAACAGAUUUGCUGCUGAGUAUGGAAAGAUGCCCUUGGUGUAUACUUCAGUGAAGGCUGUUGAUAGCCGCAACGUCUGGUUUUGGUGAUGCCUAUUUAGGUUUUUUCUUGGUAGCUUUAAAAAAAUUCCACGAUCCUGAGUUAGCUAGCUAUCUGUUUCUUAUUUUUAGUUCUGUAGUUUUAUGAUAUGAAAUCCCAUACGCAACUCACGAAUUUCUGUGGGGAAAGCUAGUAUGUCAAAUUCCUUUGAUUGAUUCAUUAUAUAAUUGACACCUAAUACUAGGGCCCUGCUGCUGCUGCUGCCAUCCUGGGGUGCUUUUUGUCUCCAUAUGUUAAAAGACAUUUCACUGACAUCAAUGAAAGCGAUGAGGCGUGUUGGUGAAACGUUGGAUAAUGUCAUAUCAAAGUCAAAACUCAACAUAACAUCUCGCAUCCGGGAUGCGGAUCAUAGGACUGGGUCGAAGCCGUUGGAGUUUUCCGAGGAAGGAGAACAAGUUCCUUGUUCGCUGGUGCUCCAAAUAAAACUAGCAUACUUGGACUUGUAAUGAGCGCUUUCAGGAUCAACCUCCAUUGCUUCUAGGGCAAGUAGGAAGACAGAUAAUCAGUAACCAGCAAUGUACCUCCUAGAAUCAAAUGGAUGAAGAAACUCGUGGUCGUGGAGUAAAGUAAAUUCAAUUUACAGAACUACUGCAAGAUGCCACUUCCUCCAUUUCUAAUAGGCAAUGACCAGCAGAGCUGUUGUCCUCUUAAGAUGGAAGAGAGCUAGAUAGAAUAUAGCAGAAGGGUUCUGAAAUACUCACUUGUCAACGUCAUGAUAAACAAGGUAGAGGAACUGUGCAUAGUUAGAAAGCAGAAGAGAGCUAUGAGGUGCCCAACUUAUGUGCUCUUUGUAGUAGAGCUCUGUUCUUUUAUAUUCCUCGUAUGCAUCUCCUUCAAGCUCCACAGACACAGGAGCUACCAACAUUUUCA
Molecule: RNA transcript, 2276 nt
Organism: Prosopis cineraria
Lineage: Eukaryota; Viridiplantae; Streptophyta; Magnoliopsida; Fabales; Fabaceae
Gene name: glycosylinositol phosphorylceramide mannosyl transferase 1
Exons: 8
Source: RefSeq, a predicted model, not a curated record